CAGCCGCCGCGGUAAUACGUAGGGUGCGAGCGUUAAUCGGAAUUACUGGGCGUAAAGCGUGCGCAGGCGGUUCGUUAAGACAGAUGCGAAAUCCCCGGGCUUAGCCUGGGAACUGCAUUUGUGACUGGCGAGCUAGAGUAUGGCAGAGGGGGGUAGAAUUCCACGUGUAGCAGUGAAAUGCGUAGAGAUGUGGAGGAAUACCGAUGGCGAAGGCAGCCCCCUGGGCCAAUACUGACGCUCAUGCACGAAAGCGUGGGGAGCAAACAGGAUUAGAUACCCCGGUAGUCCCUGUCUCUUAUAA
This 301-nucleotide ribosomal RNA is filed under the name uncultured bacterium. RNAcentral describes it as "partial 16S ribosomal RNA". It matches the Rfam family "Bacterial small subunit ribosomal RNA", at positions 509 to 809 of the family's 1533-position model. The record is from RNAcentral.